GACAGAGGAUGCAAGCGUUAUCCGGAAUGAUUGGGCGUAAAGCGUCUGUAGGUGGCUUUUCAAGUCCGCCGUCAAAUCCCAGGGCUCAACCCUGGACAGGCGGUGGAAACUACCAAGCUGGAGUACGGUAGGGGCAGAGGGAAUUUCCGGUGGAGCGGUGAAAUGCGUAGAUAUCGAGAGGAACACCUGCGGCGAAGGCGGGUAGCUGGGCCGACACUGACGCUGAGGCGCGAAAGCCAGGGGAGCGAACGGG
RNAcentral lists this ribosomal RNA (253 nucleotides) under uncultured bacterium. Its description in RNAcentral is "partial 16S ribosomal RNA". It matches the Rfam family "Bacterial small subunit ribosomal RNA", at positions 524 to 776 of the family's 1533-position model. The record is from RNAcentral.